UAUUUAUCAUCUAAUAAGACAAACACACAGAAGCACUUCCCCCAUCAGGUUCCAUUGCCAGAGGCCCAAUAGACUGCUCAAGCCCUGAAACUGACACUCACAUUCCGGGGGCCUGGUUCAGUCUUAUGUUGUUUCCCCAGGAGUUCAGCUCAGUGCUUAGCUGUGGGUGUCUGCUUCUGCUUCCAUCAGCUACUGGAUGAAAGCUCUAGGAUGGCAUUUAAGGAAGUCAUCAAUCUCAUUACAGGGGAAGGGCAUUGAAGGUCGCCCUCAUAUAGUGGAAACCUGCGCUUUCCUGGAUGGAGAUGGAAGAGGAAGGGAUUGGGCAGAGGCUGUGGCCUGGAUGUAAAAUAAAUAGAUGAAUAAAAAAUGAAACAAAGAAAAACGGAAGUGACUAAACA
Molecule: long non-coding RNA, 398 nt
Filed under: Cricetulus griseus (Chinese hamster)
Lineage: Eukaryota; Metazoa; Chordata; Mammalia; Rodentia; Cricetidae
Description: lncRNA (ENSCGRG00000025299.1)
Source: RNAcentral